Molecule: ribosomal RNA, 898 nt
Filed under: uncultured bacterium
Lineage: Bacteria
Description: bacterial SSU rRNA
Rfam family: Bacterial small subunit ribosomal RNA
Source: RNAcentral
AGAGUUUGAUCCUGGCUCAGGACGAACGCUGGCGGCGUGCCUAACACAUGCAAGUCGAGCGGAGAUAGUCUGAUGGUAACUGAUGACUAUCUUAGCGGCGGACGGGUGAGUAACACGUGGGUAACCUGCCUCAAAGAGGGGGAUAGCCUUCCGAAAGGAAGAUUAAUACCGCAUAACCCAUUGUUUCCGCAUGGGGAUGAUGGUAAAGAUUUAUCGCUUUGAGAUGGACCCGCGGCGCAUUAGCUAGUUGGUGAGGUAAUGGCUCACCAAGGCGACGAUGCGUAGCCGACCUGAGAGGGUGAUCGGCCACAUUGGAACUGAGACACGGUCCAGACUCCUACGGGAGGCAGCAGUGGGGAAUAUUGCACAAUGGGCGCAAGCCUGAUGCAGCAACGCCGCGUGAGUGAUGAAGGUCUUCGGAUUGUAAAGCUCUGUCUUUUGGGACGAUAAUGACGGUACCAAAGGAGGAAGCCACGGCUAACUACGUGCCAGCAGCCGCGGUAAUACGUAGGUGGCAAGCGUUGUCCGGAUUUACUGGGCGUAAAGGGUGCGUAGGUGGAUAUUUAAGUCAGAUGUGAAACCCCUGGGCUCAACUCAGGGACUGCAUUUGAAACUGGAUAUCUGGAGUGCAGGAGAGGUAAGUGGAAUUCCUAGUGUAGCGGUGAAAUGCGUAGAGAUUAGGAAGAACACCAGUGGCGAAGGCGACUUACUGGACUGUAACUGACACUGAGGCACGAAAGCGUGGGUAGCAAACAGGAUUAGAUACCCUGGUAGUCCACGCCGUAAACGAUGAGUACUAGGUGUAGGGGGUAUCGACUCCCUCUGUGCCGCAGUUAACACAAUAAGUACUCCGCCUGGGAAGUACGAUCGCAAGAUUAAAACUCAAAGGAAUUGACGG